AUGUCGCCGGGCCAUCCGAAGGAUCAAGAAACGCCCGACGACGCAAGGCCAGGCCCAGUCGCACGCGAAGGCGGAGAACCUGAUGCGCCGCCGAGCACCUGCGGCCCGGUCAUCCUCGACACCACGCAACAGAAUCCUCGUGCUGCCACCCUCUCGCCACUGCCACCUCGUGCCGCCACUCUCUCACAGCGCAGAUCAUCUCCGGAGGACCCUCAUGUCACUGCCGGCGAGCAGCAGCAGCCGCAGCUGCAAGCGGCGGACAAGGCACCUCGCACCACCGAGGAGGAGCCGGCGGAUUUUAUCAAUCUUUCACGGAUCAACCCGGAAUACGCUCCAGUCCCCAAUGGCAUCGACAACGGCAGUGGCAGCGCCGCCAUCAGGAAGCAAGCAGAACCCGCACCGUCACCCACACCAAGCAUGGACGACCGCGAUGACGCCCCGGCCGUGGACACCGAUAGCUCGAGCCUCGCGUCCUACCUCGCCCGCGCCUCACUCGAGCAGCGCCGGCCAGGAGGGCGUCCGGCGUCCUCAUCCGCUGCUAUCGUGAGCGACCACCAGCUGCACAACGCCGCCGCGCACUCCUCGUAG
RNAcentral lists this ribosomal RNA (588 nucleotides) under Triticum aestivum (bread wheat). Its description in RNAcentral is "partial small subunit ribosomal RNA". The record is from RNAcentral. Lineage: Eukaryota; Viridiplantae; Streptophyta; Magnoliopsida; Poales; Poaceae.